CUUGCCCAUCAGAGGUGGACCCACUCACCUGCCUGCUGAGGAUCCAGGCACCCAGCCUAUGUAGGCCCACAAGUUGCCUGAGGGCUUGCUGUUGGGUGAGCCCAAUCCCUGUGGCAGCUGCCUGUUCUAGCUGAGCUGGAUUAGAUCAAAGCUUUAGUGAGUGGGGCAGACCCUGGGCUAACAGGCCAGGGGAAAAACUCCAAUUGUUUCUGUCAGUAUCUAUGUCAGCAUGCUUGUAGCAUGUCACAGUAAUGACUGCUGCCAAUGUCUCAGUCCCUGGAGAGGUCUCACCUCUCACCAAGAUGCACCCAGAGCCUAUCAGGCAGACUGCCACACGCAGCACCUCAUUUGGACAUGUCUGGAGCUUUGGAAGUUUGGCUACCCUAUGCUCUACAAAUGGACCUUGAGAACUUAUUUGGACAUUCUAGCAAGAGAGAGCUCAGCUACUCAUAUACCCUACACUGAAGAAUGGUCCUCCUCUAUUGGGGAAAGUUGUCCUCUGAUGGAGUAUGCAGCUUCAGGAGGGACACCCAUGGAGUGUUGAGGGAGGAGGGGGACACCUCCCUCGCCAACCAGAUCAGCCAAGGCAACCCUGACAAUCAAUGGGGUGACAGAUGUCUCAGCCAGAUUGUCCUCACAUCCUCUUUUUAUUCUUAAAUUGCCUCUAACUGCAAUGCUUUUGAUCCUGGAAAUGGAUUAUGUACUAUGAAAGCCAUGAGAAGAUGCUGAAACAGAGAGGAAUUUGGUUUGCUGUUUGCUUAUUUUUUCCCCCAACAAAAAGCCCAGCUUUCCAGAAGGUCUUUAGAAAAUCAGUUUUUGUUUUAUUCCCCAUGACAAUCUUCUAAAAAGUCUUUUUAAAUCAAAGGAAAUAAAAGUGAGAGAAACCAAAGAAAAUAGGAAUUGUAAAUAAGAUGCUACUGCCUAAUAACCAAAUAGUAAAUAACGUUACAACACAGAAGAUUAAGGAGGUAAGAGCAGGAAUGUUUCCAAGUGUAGCUGAGUGGAGCCCACAGCGUGACCAACUUACUGACACACUUGUUUGCUCUGAGAAAACAAUUCACAGCACCACAAUUUGAAGUCGUACUAAAGAUGUAAAGGUAAAAACGACAGUCUCGGGGGCAUUAACUCUACGUGGACGUGUCUUUUCUUGGACUGAAACAUUUUUUUCAGUUUCUGGGUUUUGAUACAUGCAACAGAAAAACUGGAAAUUUGAUACAGAUUUGUUUCUUUCCAAGGGCAUUGUGUUAAUUAAAAUGCCAAUGCAGACGUCCAAUUUCUGCUCAGAGAUGUAGAGAGCAUGAAAGAGAGUCGUUCCCACACUUACAAUAAGAAAAUAGCAAGGCAAACUACAAAUUAAUGACUUAUAUUGGACCCAUUAGAGAACUGAGGUUGCAAGACAAACAAUUUACCUGCAAUGUGGAGAGAGACAGACGCUCGUUGGGAGAAA
Molecule: long non-coding RNA, 1447 nt
Filed under: Equus caballus (horse)
Lineage: Eukaryota; Metazoa; Chordata; Mammalia; Perissodactyla; Equidae
Description: lncRNA (ENSECAG00000044367.1)
Source: RNAcentral